This is a long non-coding RNA of Brachypodium distachyon (stiff brome), 1014 nucleotides long. RefSeq lists it as uncharacterized. The transcript has 3 exons. The record is from RefSeq and is a predicted model, not a curated record. NCBI's taxonomy places the organism in Eukaryota, Viridiplantae, Streptophyta, Magnoliopsida, Poales, Poaceae.
GUGCACAAUAUGGCACAACUUUAUCGAAUACAGUGAACUCGUUCAUAAAACACAAAUGCUGAGAAAUUGCUGAUGGGUACGAAUCACGAGGAUCCAUCGGACGGCAGCAGCAAUGUCCUCCGGGAAGGACGUCCGUACCACUACUUUUAUAACAAGUCUUGGUAAUUUUUGUAUCACUUAUUUCUAUAUUACCAAAAAUUACUAGACCUACCUACUAUUCUAUACAAGUGAUGAAAUGCAUAAUGGUCAAAGGCCACUUUCAUCAAUUUGCUGAAAUUAACUAAGAAUGUUAUAUGCACCACUUGACUUUGCUACACUUUGGCUUCAAAACAAUAAAUUAUUGAUCAAAUAUUAUUUAUUUUUUGCUUUCCCCAGUUCCAUUUUAAAGGGGAUUUGAGACGAUGCCCCUUAUUUAGAAACCUCAGGACAUUGAUACUCAAUGAGUGGAUUGUUUCUACUAAUCUGCAAGGACUUCGUUGCAUUCUUCACAACUCACCAGUAUUGGAGGAGCUCAAUCUUCUACUUUGUGAGGUCGCUGAAUUUCAAUCAACUGGAGGCCAUAAUCAAAUGGAAAAUCUCCUCGUAAUGGAGCGCCUCGAUAAAGUCAAUGUCAGAUGUCAAAAGUUGAAUAAGUGGGUUGUAACAAUAAUAAAAACCUUGAUUUCUUUUGGUAUAUCUCAUGAGAAAUUUAUUGUUGAAGAGAUUCGGUGACUUCAAAGUGUCAUUCGGCUAUUGGAAACACUAGAGUCAGAAGCUGGUCUUGUUCAUGGUGUGGUGAACAAUCAGAAGAGUUGUCCUGCGGAAGAUCAAGUCGAUGAGGCCAAUCCUGUGGCUGUCUUAUCAACAUAUAUUCGUGUUUUGUUUGUCAUUGAUGUAGGAUUGUGUUUUUUAAUGCUGGAUUUGGCAUGGGUCACUAUAUAUAGUGACGGAUUGCUAUCUUUUGAACCUUCUCUGUUGGAUUUACUAGAUGAUGAUGGGUUGUCAUCUUUGAAUGAAAUUCUUGUUUGCAUCGAA